RNAcentral lists this ribosomal RNA (2889 nucleotides) under Acinetobacter baumannii 1289546. RNAcentral describes it as "bacterial LSU rRNA". It matches the Rfam family "Bacterial large subunit ribosomal RNA". Lineage: Bacteria; Pseudomonadati; Pseudomonadota; Gammaproteobacteria; Moraxellales; Moraxellaceae. The record is from RNAcentral. RNAcentral also lists the same sequence under 5 other names.
CAAGUAAUUAAGUGCAUGUGGUGGAUGCCUUGGCAGUCAGAGGCGAUGAAAGACGUGAUAGCCUGCGAAAAGCUCCGGGGAGGCGGCAAAUAUCCUUUGAUCCGGAGAUGUCUGAAUGGGGGAACCCACCUACUUUAAGGUAGGUAUUGCAACAUGAAUACAUAGUGUUGCAAGGCGAACGAGGGGAAGUGAAACAUCUCAGUACCCUUAGGAAAAGAAAUCAAUUGAGAUUCCCUCAGUAGCGGCGAGCGAACGGGGAUCAGCCCAUUAAGUUAUGUGUGUUUUAGUGGAACGCUCUGGGAAGUGCGAACGUAGAGGGUGAUAUUCCCGUACACGAAAGGGCACACAUAAUGAUGACGAGUAGGGCGAGGCACGUGAAACCUUGUCUGAAUAUGGGGGGACCAUCCUCCAAGGCUAAAUACUCCUGACUGACCGAUAGUGAACCAGUACCGUGAGGGAAAGGCGAAAAGAACCCCUGUGAGGGGAGUGAAAUAGAUCCUGAAACCGCAUGCAUACAAGCAGUGGGAGCACCUUCGUGGUGUGACUGCGUACCUUUUGUAUAAUGGGUCAGCGACUUAUAUUCAGUAGCGAGGUUAACCGUAUAGGGGAGCCGUAGAGAAAUCGAGUCUUAAUAGGGCGUUUAGUUGCUGGGUAUAGACCCGAAACCAGGCGAUCUAUCCAUGAGCAGGUUGAAGGUUGGGUAACACUAACUGGAGGACCGAACCCACUGUCGUUGAAAAGCCAGGGGAUGACUUGUGGAUAGGGGUGAAAGGCUAAUCAAGCCUGGUGAUAGCUGGUUCUCCCCGAAAGCUAUUUAGGUAGCGCCUCGGACGAAUACCAUAGGGGGUAGAGCACUGUUUCGGCUAGGGGGUCAUCCCGACUUACCAAACCGAUGCAAACUCCGAAUACCUAUGAGUACUAUCCGGGAGACAGACUGCGGGUGCUAACGUCCGUAGUCAAGAGGAAAACAAUCCAGACCGCCAGCUAAGGCCCCAAAAUCAUAGUUAAGUGGGAAACGAUGUGGGAAGGCAUAGACAGCUAGGAGGUUGGCUUAGAAGCAGCCACCCUUUAAAGAAAGCGUAAUAGCUCACUAGUCGAGUCGGCCUGCGCGGAAGAUGUAACGGGGCUAAAACUAUGUGCCGAAGCUGCGGAUGUAUACUUUGUAUACGUGGUAGGGGAGCGUUCUGUAAGCCGAUGAAGGUGUGUUGAGAAGCAUGCUGGAGGUAUCAGAAGUGCGAAUGCUGACGUGAGUAACGACAAAACGGGUGAAAAACCCGUUCGCCGAAAGACCAAGGGUUCCAGUCCAACGUUAAUCGGGGCUGGGUGAGUCGACCCCUAAGGCGAGGCCGAAAGGCGUAGUCGAUGGGAAAAUGGUUAAUAUUCCAUUACUUCUGUGUAAUGCGAUGAGAGGACGGAGAAGGCUAAAUCAGCCUGGCGUUGGUUGUCCAGGUGAAAGGAUGUAGGCAUGUAUCUUAGGCAAAUCCGGGGUACUCUAUGCUGAGAUCUGAUAGCAAGCUGUACUUGUACAGCGAAGUGGUUGAUGCCAUGCUUCCAGGAAAAGUCUCUAAGCUUCAGUUACACAGGAAUCGUACCCGAAACCGACACAGGUGGUCAGGUCGAGUAGACCAAGGCGCUUGAGAGAACUCUGCUGAAGGAACUAGGCAAAAUGGUACCGUAACUUCGGGAGAAGGUACGCUGUUGUUGGUGAUGGAACUCGCUUCCUGAGCUGACGACAGCCGCAGAAACCAGGCCGCUGCAACUGUUUAUUAAAAACAUAGCACUCUGCAAACACGAAAGUGGACGUAUAGGGUGUGAUGCCUGCCCGGUGCUGGAAGGUUAAUUGAUGGGGUUAGCGUAAGCGAAGCUCUUGAUCGAAGCCCCAGUAAACGGCGGCCGUAACUAUAACGGUCCUAAGGUAGCGAAAUUCCUUGUCGGGUAAGUUCCGACCUGCACGAAUGGCAUAAUGAUGGCGGCGCUGUCUCCAGCAGAGGCUCAGUGAAAUCGAAAUCGCUGUGAAGAUGCAGUGUACCCGCGGCUAGACGGAAAGACCCCGUGAACCUUUACUGCAGCUUGACACUGAACUUUGACCUUACUUGUGUAGGAUAGGUGGGAGGCUUUGAAGCUGGAACGCUAGUUCCAGUGGAGCCGUCCUUGAAAUACCACCCUGGUAAUGUUGAGGUUCUAACUCUGUCCCGUGAUCCGGGACGAGGACCGUGUCUGGUGGGUAGUUUGACUGGGGCGGUCUCCUCCUAAAGAGUAACGGAGGAGUACGAAGGUGCGCUCAGCGUGGUCGGAAAUCACGCGUAGAGUAUAAAGGCAAAAGCGCGCUUAACUGCGAGACCCACAAGUCGAGCAGGUACGAAAGUAGGUCUUAGUGAUCCGGUGGUUCUGUAUGGAAGGGCCAUCGCUCAACGGAUAAAAGGUACUCUGGGGAUAACAGGCUGAUACCGCCCAAGAGUUCAUAUCGACGGCGGUGUUUGGCACCUCGAUGUCGGCUCAUCUCAUCCUGGGGCUGAAGCAGGUCCCAAGGGGAUGGCUGUUCGCCAUUUAAAGAGGUACGCGAGCUGGGUUUAGAACGUCGUGAGACAGUUCGGUCCCUAUCUACCGUGGGCGCUGGAAAUUUGAGAGGAUCUGCUCCUAGUACGAGAGGACCAGAGUGGACGAACCUCUGGUGUACCGGUUGUGACGCCAGUCGCAUCGCCGGGUAGCUAUGUUCGGAAGGGAUAACCGCUGAAAGCAUCUAAGCGGGAAGCCUACCUCAAGAUAAGAUUUCCCUAGGACUUUAUGUCCUCUAAAGAGCCGUUCGAGACUAGGACGUUGAUAGGUUGGAUGUGGAAGCAUAGUGAUAUGUGAAGCUGACCAAUACUAAUUGCUCGUGAGGCUUGACUA